AACGAACGCUGGCGGCAGGCUUAAUACAUGCAAGUCGAGCGCUGUAGCAAUACAGAGCGGCAGACGGGUGAGUAACGCGUGGGAAUGUGCCCUUUGGUCAGGAAUAACACAGGGAAACUUGUGCUAAUACCAGAUAGCCCGAAAGGGGAAAGAUUUAUCGCCAAAGGAUCAGCCCGCGUUGGAUUAGCUAGUUGGUGAGGUAAUGGCUCACCAAGGCUACGAUCUAUAGCUGAUCUGAGAGGAUGAUCAGCCACACUGGGACUGAGACACGGCCCAGUCUCCUACGGUAGGCAGCAGUAGGGAAUAUUGGACAAUGGGGGAAACCCUGAUCCAGCCAUGCCGCGUGAGUGAUGAAGGCCUUAGGGUUGUAAAACUCUUUUACCUGGGAAGAUAAUGACUGUACCAGGAGAAUAAGCCCCGGCUAACUUCGUGCCAGCAGCCGCGGUAA
RNAcentral lists this ribosomal RNA (448 nucleotides) under uncultured bacterium. RNAcentral's name for it is "partial 16S ribosomal RNA". It matches the Rfam family "Bacterial small subunit ribosomal RNA", at positions 29 to 523 of the family's 1533-position model. The record is from RNAcentral.